ACACUGUAAAAAGAGUAGGAAGACUAGCUAGCUUAGCCAGCUCGAACCAAGUGAAGGUAUAACAGCGAGCUGCUUCGCUCUGCUUUUACCUCCGUGAUCAGUGUCUCCGCUGACGCCGAGCUGACGGGACCGACAACGGCGUUCAUGAAGAACAAGCCCAUUUUCAGCGCUGUAUAGUCGGUCUCCCGCAUCCCACUCUUUGUCGUAGCUGUCGACACAUCUGCGGCGCGAUGGGCUCACACCCACUUUGAUUCCCAAGAUGUAUCUUUCCUUCCAUCUCUGGACUCCUGCUCCUUAGGCACUGCUCUCAUUCAGAACAGAGAAGUCAAUGGAUUCUUACAUCCCGGCUUGACAAGUUAGGAGGAUACAAGCUAAUCCCCUUAAUCUGUCUAUUCUCCCGCGCAGUGCCAAAGGGGGAGUGGGACCUGGCGCAAGUAAUCCUAUAGAAAAAACAAUAGGAUUAGUCCCUGACUCUUGGAGUGACAAUCAGGUAUCUACUGACUGAUUUGCAAAGUAGGCUCGAGUUUCUUCAAAUUUGCUUUUUUUUUUCCCUCCUCUGGGUAAAGGGUGCCUUUCACUAAGUGCUGGUGGGAUUCCAUGAGGAGAAAUGCUGGAGGUCUGUAUGAAAGGCAUGUAUUCUUCAGGUCCAGUGCCAGCAGAUGACUGACAGGUCCUUGCCUUCUCCCACAGCAGAGAAGGUGGAGAGGUUGGGGAGCAUGGUGGGCUCAGGCUGGCCCCACCUCUUUACCCUCUGAUUCAACCCUAUUAUAAUUCGAACCGCAUUGCCUUUAAAGAGAGGACUUUGACAGACAGAUCAAACUGCUUUGCUUUUUUUUGCAUAGCAAAUGAAGUUGGUUGAAUGGGCCAGAAAAUUAAGAGAGAUUAAAAAUGCACAAAUGUGUUGUGCCCUUUUUUCUGUUUGCUCUUAUUCCUUUUAUUUCCCCUUAUAAUGACAAACAUUGUUUUUUGUUUAUUUACAAAACUGUAGGAGCAUAAGUUUAUAUAUAUUAGCAUAUAAAUUAAAAUGUAAAAUGACACAUGAAUGAAAACCUGUAAGAAAGCUUAACUGAAUUUCAAUAUACAGUAAAGACUUAAUAUGGACUAAAAUAUACCUUCUUACUUAUAAAUUGGGAAAAAUGGUUAACUAUAAAUAAAUAUAGUUUUAAAAAUGUAUGAAUAGUAUUUGCAGUGCAGUUAUGAGGCAUUUAAAGCCAUCUGCAGUAUAAAUAGCUCUAGGUUGUCUGAUGACUUAUGUACUUAGAUAAAGAUUUUCUUGUCUUUAUAAAAGUUCUUGUAAGUUCUGCAAGUUUUUCCUCUGACCUUUAGAUGGCACUAUUGCUAUAAAAUUACCACUAAGUCCUCUGAGAUGCUUGAGUGAGCUGAGGCCUAUUCCUAGUUGUGUGAUUAGCCUCAGUGAUACCUGAUACUUGACCACAAGCUAAUGCAGCUCGGGAAGGGCAUCAUCCUGUAGGAAACAGGGGUCACCUGCUCUCAAAAGGAAGUCCUUGAUUCUAUUUAAGUCCAGUGAACUUGGCCAAGCAAAACAUGGUCUUACUUUUAACUUAUACUCACGUUACACUCUCAGUCGUCUUUGUGGUUAAGGAGAAGUACAGGUGAAUACAGGUGAAUAAUGUGUGAAAUGGGGUAGGCUUAUUUAACUGUGGUUUACAGGUUCAGUAGUGCCUGCAUUUAUGAAACGACAUCACAAUUCGUGAAGCGUUCUGAAAAAUACUUAAAACUGGACCCUUACAUACCCUUCACAUAGAGUCAUCCCUUUAUUCCAUUAUCAUAUUAAAAUAAAACCUGAGCAGAACUGCAGUUGCCUGUGUUCCCACCCUUGUGAGGUAUAACAUAACAUGGAGGAUAGUGUUUCACCUGCUAAAUACUUUGCUCUGUCUUCCCACUAUUCUUCCAACAUCUGCCAGGAGAGUCACAGUGUAAUUAAAGCUUUGAAGACGCAGGCCAGCACUCUGACCAGAUGCAUCAUUACCUUCGUCAUGCUGUAUUUUGUUUUCUAAAUUUAUGGAGCGGUCUCUGCUCAGGUCACUCUCUGUGGUUUGCCGUCUUUACUCUUAACAUUGUUGUGAUGCUAGAGCAUGUGUCCAGCCCGGGAACAGAUGCUUUACAAACAAACAA
Long non-coding RNA from Colossoma macropomum (tambaqui), 2136 nucleotides. RefSeq lists it as uncharacterized. The transcript is spliced from 3 exons. NCBI's taxonomy places the organism in Eukaryota, Metazoa, Chordata, Actinopteri, Characiformes, Serrasalmidae. The record is from RefSeq and is a predicted model, not a curated record.